RNAcentral lists this ribosomal RNA (253 nucleotides) under uncultured bacterium. Its description in RNAcentral is "partial 16S ribosomal RNA". It matches the Rfam family "Bacterial small subunit ribosomal RNA", at positions 1248 to 1500 of the family's 1533-position model. The record is from RNAcentral.
GGCGAAGCCGCGAGGUGGAGCAAAUCCCAAAAGUAACGUCUCAGUUCGGAUUGUAGUCUGCAACUCGACUACAUGAAGCUGGAAUCGUUAGUAAUCGCGAAUCAGAAUGUCGCGGUGAAUACGUUCCCGGGUCUUGUACACACCGCCCGUCACACCAUGAGAGUCGGGAACACCCGAAGUCCGUAGCCUAACCGCAAGGGGGGCGCGGCCGAAGGUGGGUUCGAUAAUUGGGGUGAAGUCGUAACAAGGUACC